GACGAACGCUGGCGGCGUGCUUAACACAUGCAAGUCGAACGGAAAGGCCCUGCUUUUGUGGGGUGCUCGAGUGGCGAACGGGUGCGUAACACGUGAGUAACCUGCCCUUGACUUUGGGAUAACUUCAGGAAACUGGGGCUAAUACCGGAUCGGAGCUCCUGCUGCAUUGUGGGGGUUGGAACGUUUCGGCGGUUGGGGAUGGACUCGCGGCUUAUCAGCUUGUUGGUGGGGUAGUGGCUUACCAAGGCUUUGACGGGUAGCCGGCCUGAGAGGGUGACCGGCCACAAUGGGACUGAGAUACGGACCAGACUCCUACGGGAGGCAGCAGUGGGGAAUAUGGCACAAUGGGCGGAAGCCUGAUGCAGCAACGCCGCGUGCGGGAUGACGGCCUUCGGGUUGUAAACCGCUGUCGCCUGUGACGAAGCGUGAGUGACGGUAAUGGGUAAAGAAGCACCGGCUAACUACGUG
This 468-nucleotide ribosomal RNA is filed under the name uncultured bacterium. Its description in RNAcentral is "partial 16S ribosomal RNA". It matches the Rfam family "Bacterial small subunit ribosomal RNA", at positions 28 to 507 of the family's 1533-position model. The record is from RNAcentral.